CCCGCACAAGCGGUGGAGCAUGUGGUUUAAUUCGACGCAACGCGAAGAACCUUACCAGGGCUUGACAUCCCCUGACCGCGUAUGAAAGUACGUUUUCACCCUCGGGUGACAGGGAGACAGGUGGUGCAUGGUUGUCGUCAGCUCGUGUCGUGAGAUGUUGGGUUAAGUCCCGCAACGAGCGCAACCCCUACGUUUAGUUGCUAACGCGUGAAGGCGAGCACUCUAGACGAACUGCCGUUGACAAAACGGAGGAAGUGGGGAUGACGUCAAAUCAUCAUGCCCCUUAUGUUCUGGGCUACACACGUGCUACAAUGGCCGGUACAGACGGACGCAAAGCCGCGAGGUGGAGCAAAUCCUAAAAAGCCGGUCUCAGUUCGGAUUGCAGGCUGCAAUUCGCCUGCAUGAAGUCGGAAUCGCUAGUAAUCGCAGGUCAGCAUACUGCGGUGAAUACGUUCCCGGGCCUU
RNAcentral lists this ribosomal RNA (464 nucleotides) under uncultured Pelotomaculum sp. RNAcentral describes it as "bacterial SSU rRNA". It matches the Rfam family "Bacterial small subunit ribosomal RNA", at positions 920 to 1382 of the family's 1533-position model. The record is from RNAcentral. Lineage: Bacteria; Bacillati; Bacillota; Clostridia; Eubacteriales; Desulfotomaculaceae.